UCUUGUUUCUAACUUGCAGGUUGGAUAGGAAAAAGCAGUGGAAGAUCAAGGAUUGGGCCAGCCAUCACAGGAAGUAUGUCGUGCAGUUCGCUCUUAGUGUGGAGCAAGCAAGGGCUGGAAAACGAGCCCAGCUUCGUGAGCACUGCCCGGAUGCGUUCAACAACUAUCUCACAUGGUUUCUUGCAAGUAACCGUGUGGAGGUAUGCCAGCCGGCGUAUGCUGAGGAGAUUCUGGAGGAACCUACCGUUUUUGAUGAGGUAGCCUAGCACCAGUACAACGCAUUAGUCAGGAAAGGCAACUCGGUCAUCCCUUCAGCUCCAAUGAUGAACUUUGUGCGUGCCCAGAUCAAGAAAGCAGCUGACGAGACCGAGACUAUUCUGGAAACAACCCCGGCUGGCAAAAGCGAUGGGGAAGGUGCACUUCGAGAAUUCAUUAAGCGCCAGGGCCAAAAGUUAAGGCGGCUAUCAAACCUUUUCGGUUGUCGUGACCCCGAGUAUGUAUCACCUGAACGGUCUAGGUCGGCGACACCAUCAGAUCCCGCUUCGGGGCAGAGACAUGGUGAACCUUUCACGGAUGAGGAUGUGGGUGGGGUCACCCAAGAGGUAUGGCAUGACGAUAUAUAUCCAUUUGUUGAUGCAUUGCUAACUAUAUCC
Molecule: non-coding RNA, 653 nt
Organism: Aegilops tauschii subsp. strangulata
Lineage: Eukaryota; Viridiplantae; Streptophyta; Magnoliopsida; Poales; Poaceae
Source: RefSeq, a predicted model, not a curated record